This 450-nucleotide ribosomal RNA is filed under the name uncultured bacterium. RNAcentral's name for it is "partial 16S ribosomal RNA". It matches the Rfam family "Bacterial small subunit ribosomal RNA", at positions 338 to 795 of the family's 1533-position model. The record is from RNAcentral.
CCUACGGGUGGCAGCAGUGGGGAAUAUUGGACAAUGGGCGCAAGCCUGAUCCAGCAAUGCCGCGUGUGUGAAGAAGGCCUGCGGGUUGUAAAGCACUUUCAGUGGGGAGGAAGGCCUCGAUAUUAAUACUAUUGAGGAUUGACGUUACCCACAGAAGAAGCACCGGCUAACUCUGUGCCAGCAGCCGCGGUAAUACAGAGGGUGAAUGCGUUAAUCGGAGUUACUGGGCGUAAAGGGUGAAUUCAUGGUUGAAAGCCCCGGGCUCAACCUGGGAAUUGCAUUUGAUACUGAGUAACUUGAGUAUGGUAGAGGGAAGUGGAAUUUCCAGUGUAGCGGUGAAAUGCGUAGAUAUUGGAAGGAACAUCAGUGGCGAAGGCGACUUCCUGGACCAUUACUGACACUGAGGCACGAAAGCGUGGGGAGCGAACAGGAUUAGAUACCCGGGUAGUC